AAGUCGUAACAAGGUUUCCGUAGGUGAACCUGCGGAAGGAUCAUUGAAGAAUCGCCCCCGUUUUUUUGAAAUGGUUUAUUCCAAACCGUGUUUACAUACCUUUGUUGCUUUGGCAGGCCGCCGCUAGGCGUUGGCUCCGGCUGACUGCGCCUGCCAGAGGACCCAAACUCGUUUGUUAGUGAUGCUGAGUACUAUAUAAUAGUUAAAAA
RNAcentral lists this unclassified non-coding RNA (209 nucleotides) under plant metagenome. RNAcentral's name for it is "partial contains small subunit ribosomal RNA and internal transcribed spacer 1". The stretch from base 1 to 46 matches the Rfam family "Eukaryotic small subunit ribosomal RNA", at positions 1786 to 1831 of the family's 1831-position model. The record is from RNAcentral.